Molecule: long non-coding RNA, 886 nt
Organism: Brassica rapa (field mustard)
Lineage: Eukaryota; Viridiplantae; Streptophyta; Magnoliopsida; Brassicales; Brassicaceae
Source: RefSeq, a predicted model, not a curated record
GACGAGUGUUACUGGCUACACCAAUCAAGUUUCUUCGAGCUCGCAUUCAUGGAGGUGUUCGACAAAUUCUUGUCAAGUGGAAUGAAGAAUCGGAGACUGCGACAUGGGAAGAUGCAGAGAAGUUAUGUGAAGCAUUUCCAGAGAUAGAGCUUGAGGACAAGCUCCUUGUCGAGGAGGAGAGUAAUGAUACACGUUAUGGUAUCACGUACCAGAGAAAGAAGACUAGAAACUAGUAUUUUCCUUAAAGCAUUAUAGACGUUUUGGUAUUUUUCCUAUUUUAGAUAUUAAGUAGUUUUUCCUUUCUUACUUAGGGUUAUGAUUUGUAAUAGCCCUAUAUAAACAUAUCUAAUUAUCAAUAAAGGAUCAUCUUCCAGCAUUAACCUUAUUCUCAAGAGAGACUAGGGUUAAAGGAAGCUUUGCAAUCAAGUUAUCUCUACUCUUACCUGUAAUCACGGCACCAGUUACGCGAGCACAAGCGGCUCGUAUCAAAAAAUAAAUGUAACAACGUUCUGACAUAUUGCCGUACGUGAGCAGAAAGGGAACACUAAAGAAACAUGUUCCAAAUUGUGGGAAAGAAGGAAAUAAAGAGCUCAAGAAAAUUGCUGACAGCUCUGAGGAGUUGAUUUUCACCACUGCUAUUGAUCAGGUGGAUUAUUUUCGCAAAAUAUCCUUCAAGAUGCAGACUAUGAACGAGGGUGACUAACUCAAAUUGCGUUUGAAGUUUUGAGAAACUUUCAUAACUUAAUAAUGAGCACAGCUUGAAGGUCUUGAAACUGAUUGGACCGUACUAUAUAAACUACGGAUAACUAUUGUAAAGAAUAAAUUUGAUAAGAUUAUACCAAAGAUUAAGAAUGAAAGAUGAUUCAACUGCAGAUGCUAGAUAUUA